AGCGGCGGACGGGUGAGUAAUGCCUAGGAAAUUGCCCUGAUGUGGGGGAUAACCAUUGGAAACGAUGGCUAAUACCGCAUAACGCCUACGGGCCAAAGAGGGGGACCUUCGGGCCUCUCGCGUCAGGAUAUGCCUAGGUGGGAUUAGCUAGUUGGUGAGGUAAGGGCUCACCAAGGCGACGAUCCCUAGCUGGUCUGAGAGGAUGAUCAGCCACACUGGAACUGAGACACGGUCCAGACUCCUACGGGAGGCAGCAGUGGGGAAUAUUGCACAAUGGGCGCAAGCCUGAUGCAGCCAUGCCGCGUGUGUGAAGAAGGCCUUCGGGUUGUAAAGCACUUUCAGUCGUGAGGAAGGUAGUGUAGUUAAUAGCUGCAUUAUUUGACGUUAGCGACAGAAGAAGCACCGGCUAACUCCGUGCCAGCAGCCGCGGUAAUACGGAGGGUGCGAGCGUUAAUCGGAAUUACUGGGCGUAAAGCGCAUGCAGGUGGUUUGUUAAGUCAGAUGUGAAAGCCCGGGGCUCAACCUCGGAAUUGCAUUUGAAACUGGCAGACUAGAGUACUGUAGAGGGGGGUAGAAUUUCAGGUGUAGCGGUGAAAUGCGUAGAGAUCUGAAGGAAUACCGGUGGCGAAGGCGGCCCCCUGGACAGAUACUGACACUCAGAUGCGAAAGCGUGGGGAGCAAACAGGAUUAGAUACCCUGGUAGUCCACGCCGUAAACGAUGUCUACUUGGAGGUUGUGGCCUUGAGCCGUGGCUUUCGGAGCUAACGCGUUAAGUAGACCGCCUGGGGAGUACGGUCGCAAGAUUAAAACUCAAAUGAAUUGACGGGGGCCCGCACAAGCGGUGGAGCAUGUGGUUUAAUUCGAUGCAACGCGAAGAACCUUACCUACUCUUGACAUCCAGAGAACUUUCCAGAGAUGGAUUGGUGCCUUCGGGAACUCUGAGACGGUGCUGCAUGGCUGUCGUCAGCUCGUGUUGUGAAAUGUUGGGUUAGUCCCGCACGAGCGCAACCCUUAUCCUGUUUGCCACCAGUAAUGUCGGGAACUCCGGGAGAUGCCGUGAUAACCGGAGGAGGUGGGACAACUCAGUCUUU
This 1091-nucleotide ribosomal RNA is filed under the name Vibrio sp. Its description in RNAcentral is "bacterial SSU rRNA". It matches the Rfam family "Bacterial small subunit ribosomal RNA", at positions 94 to 1194 of the family's 1533-position model. Lineage: Bacteria; Pseudomonadati; Pseudomonadota; Gammaproteobacteria; Vibrionales; Vibrionaceae. The record is from RNAcentral.